This 72-nucleotide transfer RNA is filed under the name Candidatus Pacearchaeota archaeon CG10_big_fil_rev_8_21_14_0_10_34_12. RNAcentral describes it as "tRNA-Phe". It matches the Rfam family "tRNA". From Rfam's summary of the family: Transfer RNA (tRNA) molecules are approximately 80 nucleotides in length. Their secondary structure includes four short double-helical elements and three loops (D, anti-codon, and T loops). Further hydrogen bonds mediate the characteristic L-shaped molecular structure. tRNAs have two regions of fundamental functional importance: the anti-codon, which is responsible for specific mRNA codon recognition, and the 3' end, to which the tRNAs corresponding amino acid is attached (by aminoacyl-tRNA synthetases). tRNAs cope with the degeneracy of the genetic code in two manners: having more than one tRNA (with a specific anti-codon) for a particular amino acid; and 'wobble' base-pairing, i.e. permitting non-standard base-pairing at the 3rd anti-codon position. The record is from RNAcentral. Lineage: Archaea; Nanobdellati.
GGGCAGGUAGCUCAGUGGGAGAGCACCGCACUGAAGCUGCGGGUGUCGGGAGUUCGAUUCUCUCCCUGCCCA